Molecule: ribosomal RNA, 497 nt
Filed under: uncultured bacterium
Lineage: Bacteria
Description: partial 16S ribosomal RNA
Rfam family: Bacterial small subunit ribosomal RNA
Source: RNAcentral
GAUGAACGCUGGCGGCGUGCCUAAUACAUGCAAGUCGAGCGAACGGACGAGAAGCUUGCCUCUCUGAUGUUAGCGGCGGACGGGUGAGUAACACGUGGAUAACCUACCUAUAAGACUGGGAUAACUUCGGGAAACCGGAGCUAAUACCGGAUGAUAUUUUGAACCGCAUGGUUCAAAAGUGAAAGACGGUCUUGCUGUCACUUAUAGAUGGAUCCGCGCUGCAUUAGCUAGUUGGUAAGGUAACGGCUUACCAAGGCAACGAUGCAUAGCCGACCUGAGAGGGUGAUCGGCCACACUGGAACUGAGACACGGUCCAGACUCCUACGGGAGGCAGCAGUAGGGAAUCUUCCGCAAUGGGCGAAAGCCUGACGGAGCAACGCCGCGUGAGUGAUGAAGGUCUUCGGAUCGUAAAACUCUGUUAUUAGGGAAGAACAUAUGUGUAAAUAACUGUGCACAUCUUGACGGUACCUAAUCAGAAAGCCACGGCUAACUACGUG